UGAUGAAUAAAUGACAGGAAAUUCAACCUCACCGUAAUAACUAUUAUAUUGUAGUGCAAGAAAUCAGUAUACCUUGGACUAUUAUACUUAUAUAAUAAUAGUCGUAGAGAAUACACUGUUUUGUUGUUAUAUAUAUAUUAUUAAUAUUACGAUUGCAUGUAUAUAUAAUUUUCAUCUAUUUGUAUAUGAUAAUUCUAUUCUACUAUUAUUAUAGUGCAGUGCAAGUGCAUGGUGGACACUCUUCUGUAAAAAAAAAUCAAAGCCUUAAAGGCUGUAAAAGCAAUUGCUGCCAUGUUAAUGUUUUGGGGACUUUUAUUUUCAUCUACAUAUAUAAGAAUUAAACCUGACAGGACAUGGUUGUCUAGUGAAAAGCAAGAAGGUUUUGACUUUAUAUCAAUAAAAGAAUUAAGCAGGAAAUCAUUUU
RNAcentral lists this long non-coding RNA (424 nucleotides) under Mytilus galloprovincialis (Mediterranean mussel). The record is from RNAcentral. Lineage: Eukaryota; Metazoa; Mollusca; Bivalvia; Mytilida; Mytilidae.